GGUGUGAGUGUCGCUCAUGGGCAUCGAUACCUUGCGGCUAUGAACUGGAACAAGAAGGGUAGCAAAGAUUUUGAGUAGCAAUGCUCACUACUCUUGGGGUUUUAAUCCUUCCGAGUUGUGUUGAUGUUAUUCCAAGAAUUAGCUAACUGUAACGAAGAUGUUCUUGGCAACCAUCUUUUGAUGGGAGUCUGGCUAUUCGAUGAUCGGCUAAGGGUGAUGAACGAAAUGUGAACCCUUGUCUAACCUCUGUUGGAUGGUCGUGAAACAAUUGCUAAGUGCCCGAUUGAUCACCCGGCCGUCCGGUUUGAGGAUUCGUCGACCAUCCGGCCGUCCGGUCGAGGAUUCGUCAGACUCGUUAGAUUUUUCUCGACGAUUCCAACCACUGUCGACGAUUUCUCGGACCCGGUAAAAUUUUCUCGACGAUUCCGGAUCGAGGAUUCCUCGGACUCGAUUUUUUCCGUUGACGAUUUUAAGUUCUGGUCGAAACGUACUUAAAAUCCUUUGUAUAUUCACCUA
RNAcentral lists this small RNA (516 nucleotides) under Arabidopsis thaliana (thale cress). Its description in RNAcentral is "ATSL026520". Lineage: Eukaryota; Viridiplantae; Streptophyta; Magnoliopsida; Brassicales; Brassicaceae. The record is from RNAcentral.